UAAUUUUCAGUGUAUAAACUUUUCACCUCUUUGGUUAAGCUUAUUCUUAGGUAUUUCAUGGAUUUUGGUAUAAUUGUAAAUUGGAUCAGUUCCUUGAUAUCUCUUUCUGCUGCUUCUUUAUUGGUGUAGAAAUUCAAAUGAUUUCUGUACAUUG
Molecule: long non-coding RNA, 154 nt
Organism: Herpailurus yagouaroundi (jaguarundi)
Lineage: Eukaryota; Metazoa; Chordata; Mammalia; Carnivora; Felidae
Exons: 3
Source: RefSeq, a predicted model, not a curated record